This is a long non-coding RNA of Passer domesticus (house sparrow), 789 nucleotides long. RefSeq lists it as uncharacterized. NCBI's taxonomy places the organism in Eukaryota, Metazoa, Chordata, Aves, Passeriformes, Passeridae. The record is from RefSeq and is a predicted model, not a curated record. The transcript is spliced from 3 exons.
CACUGGAGUGGUCAUGAUGACAAUGUUGGACACGCCAGUACAGAAACUUGAAUGCCUUUCAGACCCUUAGUGGUUGGUCACCUCCCUAACCCAGGUCAGGGUGAACCCUGAGAGGCUGAAUAAAGCCUGAUCAAGAUGCAGAAUUACCUGGAAAAGGAAGGGAGUAACAGGGAGACCACAGAGACCUGGACAAUCUCAUCCAUCCUUGAAAGGAGACCUGAGGAGCAGUGUGCAGUCUCAUGCCCCAUCACGCUUCUCAAGUGGUAAACAGGGAGCACAGAGAGGCUGUGGGAUCUCCACUGACACCAAACAUGUCACUGAGCUGCCAACACAAUGGGAGCUGGGAGAGCUGCUGGCCUAGGAUCGGAUGUCAAGGAGAAGUGGCAGGAGGUGAGAAGUGCCAGGAAUGCUGCUUCCCAGCUGGCUCUGGAAACAGUUCAUGCCUGUGUCCAUCUGCACUCAGAUCAAAGCCUCCCUGAAUUAUUCAGGUGCUCUUUGAAAAUUCUCAUCAUGCAGAAAGUGAAGGCAGCUUGGCUUUACCUGCUGGAAAACAAGCACUCAUUGUAAGCUCCAGGGCCAAACCAAGGUUCCUCUGCUCACACAAUGACAGCAGCUCCUCCCACCUUCAUGGCAGAAUUCUGUCCUCCUGUUACACCAGGUUCUUACAUACAUGUCUCAAAUGUGUGGGCCCUCAGUCCUUGCAGGCUUCAGUAGGUACUUUGCAUCUAAUACAGCCCAGACUUGCAGUCCUGAUCCUGCCUCCUCCAGUGUGUUGGGCACACUGAUACA